CGUACACUCCUACGGGAGGCAGCAGUGGGGAAUAUUGGACAAUGGGCGCAAGCCUGAUACAGCCAUGCCGCGUGAGUGAUGAAGGCCCUAGGGUUGUAAAGCUCUUUCACCGGUGAAGAUAAUGACGGUAACCGGAGAAGAAGCCCCGGCUAACUUCGUGCCAGCAGCCGCGGUAAUACGAAGGGGGCUAGCGUUGUUCGGAUUUACUGGGCGUAAAGCGCACGUAGGCGGACUAUUAAGUCAGGGGUGAAAUCCCGGGGCUCAACCCCGGAACUGCCUUUGAUACUGGUAGUCUUGAGUUCGAGAGAGGUGAGGGGAAUUCCGAGGGUAGAGGUGAAAUUCGUAGAUAUUCGGAGGAACACCAGUGGCGAAGGCGGCUCACUGGCUCGAUACUGACGCUGAGGUGCGAAAGCGUGGGGAGCAAACAGGAGUAGAAACCCGGGUAGUCCCA
This 451-nucleotide ribosomal RNA is filed under the name uncultured organism. RNAcentral's name for it is "partial 16S ribosomal RNA". It matches the Rfam family "Bacterial small subunit ribosomal RNA", at positions 330 to 797 of the family's 1533-position model. The record is from RNAcentral.